UCCUAUCCGUUGUCAAUGUUUGAUCUUGUCUGAUCUCAGAAGCUGAGCAAGACUGGGCUUGGCUAGUGCUUGGAUGGGAGACCACUGGGGGUACUAGGUACUGUAGGUA
RNAcentral lists this ribosomal RNA (109 nucleotides) under Periophthalmus magnuspinnatus. The record is from RNAcentral. Lineage: Eukaryota; Metazoa; Chordata; Actinopteri; Gobiiformes; Gobiidae.